RNAcentral lists this ribosomal RNA (462 nucleotides) under Triticum aestivum (bread wheat). RNAcentral describes it as "partial small subunit ribosomal RNA". Lineage: Eukaryota; Viridiplantae; Streptophyta; Magnoliopsida; Poales; Poaceae. The record is from RNAcentral.
AUGAGCAUUGCGGCGUGUUGGCGCGGAGGACGCCCGUGUUGGCGUGGUGCAGAAGAACGCUUGCGUGCUGGCGGUGCAACAAUGAUGGCUUGGGUGACAGGGUUGAAGAGUUGUAGCUAUCUCCCGUCUUGGUUGAUGCAUCCCUGCUCCCCUCCCGUCCUAAGCUGGUCCACCCUCUGCGUGAUCGCAGUGAGAUGGAACCCCGCCAAAGCGGGCACCGAAGAGCUGAUGCAGGAGUGGACGAUGGGAGAGGCGAGGUUGGUGAUGCAUGGCAGAAUGUCAUCGUCGUGCAGCUCAACCAUCGCCACGAUGCGGGUCUUGGUGCGCGGUGGAGAUGGUUCCCCAUCCUCAAACGCAAGUGGAGUGGAGAGCGCCUUGAUCAUAGUGUUCUCCAUCUCCAACUACAUGAUGACUGUGUGCGGAGGGGGGAGAGAGCGUGCGGCCGGCAAGAAAGGAGAAUAA